Molecule: ribosomal RNA, 253 nt
Filed under: uncultured bacterium
Lineage: Bacteria
Description: partial 16S ribosomal RNA
Rfam family: Bacterial small subunit ribosomal RNA
Source: RNAcentral
UACAGAGGUGGCAAGCGUUGUUCGGAAUUACUGGGCGUAAAGGGCGAGUAGGUGGCCAUCUAAGUCAGACGUGAAAUCCCCCGGCUUAACCUGGGAACUGCGUCUGAUACUGGACGGCUUGAGUAUGGGAGAGGAACGUAGAAUUCCAGGUGUAGCGGUGAAAUGCGUAGAUAUCGGGAGGAACACCCGUGGCGAAGGCGGCCUGCUGGGCUGACCCUGACACUGAGGCGCGAAGGCGUGGGGAGCGAACGGG